This 1603-nucleotide ribosomal RNA is filed under the name Planctomycetota bacterium. Its description in RNAcentral is "bacterial SSU rRNA". It matches the Rfam family "Bacterial small subunit ribosomal RNA". Lineage: Bacteria; Pseudomonadati; Planctomycetota. The record is from RNAcentral.
AAUUGAAGAGUUUGAUCCUGGCUCAGAACGAACGCUGGCGGCGUGGAUUAGGCAUGCAAGUCGAACGAGGCCGCGCUGGAUCGCAAGGUUUGGCGCGAGUCGAGUGGCGAAAGGGUGAGUAACGCACAGAUAACCUACCUUCGCGCUCGGGAUAACGGCGUUCACCGCAAGGUGAACUAGCGAAAGUGCCGCUAAUACCGGAUGCUGUUGCGCUGACGCAUGUCGGCGCAAGCAAAGGCGGGGACCCGCAAGGGCCUGCCGCGCGCUGAGGGGUCUGUGUCCUAUCAGCUAGUUGGUGAGGUAACGGCUCACCAAGGCUUACGGGUAGCCGACCUGAGAGGGUGACCGGCCACAUUGGGACUGAGACACUGCCCAGACUCCUACGGGAGGCUGCAGUCGAGGAUCUUCUGCAAUGGGCGAAAGCCUGACAGAGCGACGCCGCGUGAGGGAUGAAGGCCUUCGGGUUGUAAACCUCUUUGAAGCGUUAAGAACGACAUCAGCCAUAACAUGGCCGGUGUUCUGACUAAGGCGCUAGAACAAGCUACGGCUAACUACGUGCCAGCAGCAGCGGUAAUACGUAGGUAGCGAGCGUUGUUCGGAAUCACUGGGCGUAAAGAGCACGUAGGCGGCCUGGUAAGUCAGAUGUGAAAGCCCUCGGCUUAACCGAGGAACAGCAUCUGAUACUGCCGGGCUUGAGGGUCGGAGGGGGGAGUGGAACUCUAGGUGUAGCGGUGAAAUGCGUAGAUAUCUAGAGGAACGCCGGUGGCGAAAGCGACUCCCUAGAAGACCCCUGACGCUGAGUGUGCGAAAGCUAGGGGAGCAAACGGGAUUAGAUACCCCGGUAGUCCUAGCUGUAAACGAUGGGCACUAAGUAGGUUGUCGUCCGAUCGGUGACCUGCCGUAGCCAACGCAAUAAGUGCCCCGCCUGGGAAGUACGGUCGCAAGAUUAAAACUCAAAGGAAUUGACGGGGACUCGCACAAGCGGUGGAGUAUGUGGCUUAAUUCGAGGCAACGCGAAGAACCUUACCGGGGCUUGACAUGUACGUAGUAGAAGCCUGAAAGGGUGACGAGUCCGAGCAAUCGGACAGCGUACACAGGUGCUGCAUGGCUGUCGUCAGCUCGUGCCGUGAGGUGUCGGGUUAAGUCCCAUAACGAGCGAAACCCUUGUCACUAGUUACCAUCAGGUCAUGCUGGGGACUCUAGUGAGACUGCCCCUGUUAAAGGGGAGGAAGGUGGGGACGACGUCAAGUCAUCAUGGCCCUUAUGUCCCGGGCUGCACACGUACCACAAUGGCCGGUACAGAGGGAAGCAAGGCCGCGAGGCGGAGCUAAACCCAAAAAGCCGGUCCCAGUUCGGAUCGAGGGCUGCAACCCGCCCUCGUGAAGUCGGAAUCGCUAGUAAUCGCGGAUCAGCUACGCCGCGGUGAAUAUGUUCCCGAGUCUUGUACACACCGCCCGUCAAGCCAUGGAAGCUGGGAGCACCCGAAGUCGCUUGCCCAACCCGCAAGGGAGGACGGCGCCGAAGGUGAGACCGGUGACUGGGACUAAGUCGUAACAAGGUAGCCGUAGGAGAACCUGCGGCUGGAUCACCUCCUUUCUAAGGA